GAUGGUCACUAGUGGUGAAACCCUGAAUUGCCCAUAAGCAUCUGGCCCGUGUGGAGGGCAACAAUUUCUUCCAGAUCAGUGGAUAAAAUGCUUGUUUCAGACUUUUGUCUAUAACUUGACUAUGUUUUCAAAUUUAGACUGCUUUUCUUCAAAAAUCUUAUGAGACAAGCUGGUCUGCUGAGGAAAAACAAAGCGAACAAGAGUCUUUGCUCUUUGCCUCCUUGACAUAAUGACGGUGCCAUGGCAGUUUCUGGUUUACUUCAGAAGUGUUCGUAGUUACAGGCUGGAAGCAGGAGCUCAGCAGCAUCGGAGUGGCUGAGCUGUCCUGCCUGGGAGCUGCACAAAAUCUUUGGUGUGCAACUGUGGAAGUGUUUCCAGACUGCUCUGGAAUCUCUCCACUUAUGGGUCACCCAACAAGAUCCUGCUUCUUGCUCAGCCAUGUACAGAAAUGGGCAGGCAUCCACACCUUCUAAAAUAAAGGACCCUGGAAAUUAUUCUUUCUUGCCCUACAUUCCAGCCUGGAUGGACUCAGAAGUUAAGAACCACACCGUAAAGAUCUAUUUCACCAGCAUCUCACCGUAAAGAUCUAUUUCACCAGCAUCUCUGUCCCCUCAUUACAGUAAGCUCUCUUCUGUCAUCUUCCUGUCUCAGAGCUCUGCUUGGAGACCAGUUGAUGAGAUCCAUACCUCUGUACCAAGCUGUGUGACAAAAGCUGUGGGUCAAGUACUGCCCAAGUAAGAGUAAUUUGUUUACAUUUACUUUGGAUGUCACUCUCCCUUGAUAAGAAUAACUUAUAUGUAUAUGGGUAUAUGUACAAAACCACUGAUUAUAUUCUAAUUUCUGUCCCUUUGCUGAAAGUUGG
Molecule: long non-coding RNA, 862 nt
Filed under: Taeniopygia guttata (zebra finch)
Lineage: Eukaryota; Metazoa; Chordata; Aves; Passeriformes; Estrildidae
Description: lncRNA (ENSTGUG00000023623.1)
Source: RNAcentral